CUACUACAAAAAUGCACAUACAUAACACUUCAUACAUAACGGUUUUUUUAAAAAACCGUUAUGUAUGAGCGCAUUUUUGGAAUAGAUAACGGUUUUUACAAAAAAUCGUUAUCUAUGUAGUGUUGUCCAUACACUUAGAUAUCGGUUUGAGUUAAACCGUUAUGUUUGUGCGUUAUCUAUUAGUUACAUACAUAACGGUACUACAAAACCGUUAAGCCGACCGUUAUCUAUGAGCAUCUUUUUAUAACGGUUGUUUUAACCGUUAUAUAUGAGCGUCUCAAGACCGUUAUGUAUUAUUUUUUAUAUUUAUUUUUAAUUUUAAUAAUAUUAUAAAAAAUUAAAAUCCUAAUUUCCUAAUACACACUAGCGAACCCACAGUCUCCUUCUUCUCUAAAGUUUGAAACGGUACCCCUCUCUCUCGCCAUUCUCUGUCGACUCCGGUGAGCGGCCGCCCUGAAUCGCAGCCUCCCUCUGGCGCGGCGAGGUCGGCCCCUAUUCUUCCUCCUCCUCUCCUUCCCUUUUGUGCCCUAUUUUUUCCCCAAGAACAAAAUCCUCAAUUUCUAGGGUUUUCAGCCUCUCUUUCCUCUCUGAAUUUCGCCCCUCCGGCGAAUCCCGCCACUACCACCGCCGCCUCGCACAGCUGCUCCCUGCCUCAGGGAGAGCUUGCACUCGCAUUUGGUGAAUUGUUGAGGAAACUAUGGUCUUCUGGUCGAACUCCAGUUGCACCUCGUGUAUUUUAGGGGAAACUUGCCCGUUUUGGUCCCCAGUUUAGUGGUUAUAAUCAGCAUGAUUCGCAGGUUAGUUUCAAUCUAAAUGUUAGAUUAAGAUAUAUUGUCAUUCAUUUAAAUAUAAGAAGAAAUAUAGAUACUAUCUAUUCUUGUGUUAGUUUAUCAGGAACAUGAAUUUCAUCAAUCAAUUAUCUGAUACUAGAAUUUGAUUAAAAGCUAAGAGCAGUCCAUUAGAGUAUGUGAUGACAUUAUUAAUAUUCUUUUUAUGCCUGACAAACUAUCGUAAACUUUCCUUCUUGACAUUAUCAUAUCCCUCCAACCGGAGUUCUUCUAACGGAGCUUUCCAACCAUCAUUGGUGCUAGUUUUGUUCUACUAUCGUAUUUGUAAUUUUGUAUUUGUAUUCGCUUUGGAAAAUAAAUACGCCUUGGUAGAGAUGGUAAGUGGAUGUCUGAGAUGGUAAAGAAAUGUACAUGCUUCGUAUAUUCUUGUUUUUGAAGCAGGUGACUAUUGAUGUAUACAUUGUAAAUUUACUGCAGUGCAGGUAUUGUUAAUAUUGUUUUUGAAGAUAGGCCUUUGACUUAUCCAGAUAGUACUUGUAUUAAUACAGUUAACUAAUUGGCAGAUGCUCUUGUGUAUUAACAUAAUCUCUCUUUCAUAGUUAAAUAUGCUUAUUUAGCUUCAUGUUUUCAGCCCAUGCAUCAAAGAAAGGAUAGUUGGCAUCAGGCUGAAGUUUGUAAGUUGGUUGAAUGUAUAAAAGGAGACAUAUGUGAUAUAAUAGGCUCACAUUGGUUACACGUUUUCCCUGUGUAGAUCUCCGGGACGACAGGGGUUAUCUUGCUGAUCAUAUAGGAGGAUCUAACAUCAUCACCACAGCCCAAGUGUGUACAUCUUUCUUUUUUGUAUUGUUGGAUUUGGUAUUUGAUUGUGUUGACAAAGGCGGGCUCAACUUGUGUUGGGCGAGGAGCUGAGGAAACAGAUUAGUGCAGCAGCUUACAUAGAAUGCAGCUCCAAGACUCAACAGAAUGUGAAAGGUGUUUUUGAUACUGCAAUCAAGGUUGUGCUUCAACCUCCACGGAGAAAGGAAGUGGCGUCGCAGAAGAAGCGAAACACUACUGGCUGCUCAAUUGUGUAUGCCUCUGGGACUACUUCAAUAAGAAGAAGCAAACUAUAUUAAUUCCAUGGAGAAGAUGGUGCUAUUCUUGUCCCUGGUGGUGUAGUUAGUAUAAAAUUGGGCGAUAUGAAGAACCUAGUGCUUAUAUGGUGGGAGAAUUGUUAGACAUAAAUGUAUGUGAUAUUUAUGAAUAUUUGGAUGACAAUGUAUGAAUAUUUUGGAUGUUA
Salvia miltiorrhiza (redroot sage) is the source of this 2067-nucleotide long non-coding RNA. RefSeq lists it as uncharacterized. Lineage: Eukaryota; Viridiplantae; Streptophyta; Magnoliopsida; Lamiales; Lamiaceae. The transcript has 4 exons. The record is from RefSeq and is a predicted model, not a curated record.